CCUGAGGGAGGGUAGAUGAGGUUUUUACCUCUGUCCACAGUAUACAGCCUAGAACCUCAAACUGCCACACCUAACUAAUCUGCCUGUCUUCAAGUCUGAGGGUAAGGAGGGAUGCCUCCAGAUACUUG
Callorhinus ursinus (northern fur seal) is the source of this 128-nucleotide non-coding RNA. The record is from RefSeq and is a predicted model, not a curated record. NCBI's taxonomy places the organism in Eukaryota, Metazoa, Chordata, Mammalia, Carnivora, Otariidae.